AAAUGCCGCUGGGGGUGUCCGUGAGGCCAUCAUGCAUCACGGGCUGAGAGCAGACCCUUCGAACCUGACCCGGAUCAUGCCGGCGCAGGAAAGCCGGCGUGAGCUUCG
This 108-nucleotide non-coding RNA is filed under the name Allochromatium vinosum. RNAcentral describes it as "TPP sequence". It matches the Rfam family "TPP riboswitch aptamer (THI element)". Rfam says of the family: Vitamin B(1) in its active form thiamin pyrophosphate (TPP) is an essential coenzyme that is synthesised by coupling of pyrimidine and thiazole moieties in bacteria. The record is from RNAcentral. RNAcentral also lists the same sequence under 1 other name. Lineage: Bacteria; Pseudomonadati; Pseudomonadota; Gammaproteobacteria; Chromatiales; Chromatiaceae.